UGCCAGUAAAAUUCUACUCAAAAUUCUUGCCUUUAAGAGGAGAAAUACCCUUUUUAAUUGUUUAAGAAACGACAAAGAUAAAUAUGAUCACAACAUUCUACUGGGGGUAUGAAAUUCCCACCACAGAUAAUGACCUGAAUCAAGACAUAAGGUAUAUAGGCUACACCACAAGAUCACUGAAUAAGAGACUAGAAGAACAUAAAAAAGAUAUUGAUAAGUCUGUGAAUACAACAGCACUAGCCCAAAGAGCCCUCUUUAGCAAUGUUACAGUAAAAUGGGAAGACGCAAAACUCCUAAUGAGGC
RNAcentral lists this long non-coding RNA (303 nucleotides) under Androctonus crassicauda. Lineage: Eukaryota; Metazoa; Arthropoda; Arachnida; Scorpiones; Buthidae. The record is from RNAcentral.